Bombina bombina (fire-bellied toad) is the source of this 252-nucleotide long non-coding RNA. RefSeq lists it as uncharacterized. NCBI's taxonomy places the organism in Eukaryota, Metazoa, Chordata, Amphibia, Anura, Bombinatoridae. The record is from RefSeq and is a predicted model, not a curated record. The transcript is spliced from 3 exons.
GUUAACAUUGCAUAAAGAAACUAAAGGGGAGUGAAAAUACAUCUAGUUAAGUGAUAUCUAUCCAAGAGAUGUUGUUUUACUGGUGGAAUCCUGUCACUUGUCACCAACAGAGCUAUUAAGAGAAUACCUCUUGAAAAGUCUCAUCCAGUUUAGCAAUAGACAGAAUCUUUUUAUAUUUCAAACAAAGAGUUAAAUACAGAGACCUAAAAUACAAGUCACUGUUAACCGUCUGCCAAAGGGAGAUUAAAGAAG